UACAGAGGGUGCAAGCGUUAAUCGGAGUUACUGGGCGUAAAGGGCGCGUAGGCGGUUAUUUAAGUUUGAUGUGAAAUCCCUGGGCUUAACCUAGGAACUGCAUUGAAUACUGGGUAACUGGAGUACUGCAGAGGGUAGUGGAAUUUCCGGUGUAGCGGUGAAAUGCGUAGAGAUCGGAAGGAACACCAGUGGCGAAGGCGGCUACCUGGACAGAUACUGACGCUGAGGCGCGAGAGCGUGGGGGAGCAAACAGG
This 254-nucleotide ribosomal RNA is filed under the name uncultured bacterium. RNAcentral describes it as "partial 16S ribosomal RNA". It matches the Rfam family "Bacterial small subunit ribosomal RNA", at positions 524 to 776 of the family's 1533-position model. The record is from RNAcentral.